GACCGCGUAGCUCAGUUGGCAGAGCAUUGGGCUAGUAUUCCAAAGGUCGUAGGUUCGAUUCCCACAGUGAUCA
RNAcentral lists this transfer RNA (73 nucleotides) under Paramuricea clavata. It matches the Rfam family "tRNA". Rfam says of the family: Transfer RNA (tRNA) molecules are approximately 80 nucleotides in length. Their secondary structure includes four short double-helical elements and three loops (D, anti-codon, and T loops). The record is from Rfam by way of RNAcentral. Lineage: Eukaryota; Metazoa; Cnidaria; Anthozoa; Malacalcyonacea; Plexauridae.